This 448-nucleotide ribosomal RNA is filed under the name uncultured bacterium. RNAcentral describes it as "partial 16S ribosomal RNA". It matches the Rfam family "Bacterial small subunit ribosomal RNA", at positions 338 to 795 of the family's 1533-position model. The record is from RNAcentral.
UCUACGGGUGGCAGCAGUCGAGAAUCUUCGGCAAUGAGCGCAAGCUUGACCGAGCGACGCCGCGUGCGGGAUGAAGGCCUUCGGGUUGUAAACCGCUUUGGUCCGAAAGAAAGGGUAAAACUUGAUCGAUCGGAGAAACAAGGACGGGCUAAGUUCGUGCCAGCAGCCGCGGUAAGACGAACCGUCCAAACGUUAUUCGGAAUCACUGGGCUUAAAGGGCGCGUAGGCGGCCGAGCGGGUCGUGGGUGAAAUCCCCCAGCUUAACUGGGGAACUGCUUACGAUACCACUGCGGCUCGAGGAAGGAAGGGGCAAUUGGAACUGUCGGUGGAGCGGUGAAAUGCGUUGAUAUCGACAGGAACGCCGGUGGCGAAAGCGAAUUGCUGGUCCUUUUCUGACGCUGAGGCGCGAAAGCCAGGGGAGCAAACGGGAUUAGAUACCCCUGUAGUC